RNAcentral lists this ribosomal RNA (1381 nucleotides) under uncultured bacterium. Its description in RNAcentral is "bacterial SSU rRNA". It matches the Rfam family "Bacterial small subunit ribosomal RNA", at positions 18 to 1394 of the family's 1533-position model. The record is from RNAcentral.
CCUGGCUCAGGAUGAACGCUAGCUACAGGCUUAACACAUGCAAGUCGAGGGGCAGCAUGGUCUUAGCUUGCUAAGACUGAUGGCGACCGGCGCACGGGUGAGUAACACGUAUCCAACCUGCCGUCUACUCUUGGACAGCCUUCUGAAAGGAAGAUUAAUACAAGAUGGCAUCAUGAGUCCGCAUGUUCACAUGAUUAAAGGUAUUCCGGUAGACGAUGGGGAUGCGUUCCAUUAGAUAGUAGGCGGGGUAACGGCCCACCUAGUCUUCGAUGGAUAGGGGUUCUGAGAGGAAGGUCCCCCACAUUGGAACUGAGACACGGUCCAAACUCCUACGGGAGGCAGCAGUGAGGAAUAUUGGUCAAUGGGCGAGAGCCUGAACCAGCCAAGUAGCGUGAAGGAUGACUGCCCUAUGGGUUGUAAACUUCUUUUAUAAAGGAAUAAAGUCGGGUAUGGAUACCCGUUUGCAUGUACUUUAUGAAUAAGGAUCGGCUAACUCCGUGCCAGCAGCCGCGGUAAUACGGAGGAUCCGAGCGUUAUCCGGAUUUAUUGGGUUUAAAGGGAGCGUAGAUGGAUGUUUAAGUCAGUUGUGAAAGUUUGCGGCUCAACCGUAAAAUUGCAGUUGAUACUGGAUAUCUUGAGUGCAGUUGAGGCAGGCGGAAUUCGUGGUGUAGCGGUGAAAUGCUUAGAUAUCACGAAGAACUCCGAUUGCGAAGGCAGCCUGCUAAGCUGCAACUGACAUUGAGGCUCGAAAGUGUGGGUAUCAAACAGGAUUAGAUACCCUGGUAGUCCACACGGUAAACGAUGAAUACUCGCUGUUUGCGAUAUACUGCAAGCGGCCAAGCGAAAGCGUUAAGUAUUCCACCUGGGGAGUACGCCGGCAACGGUGAAACUCAAAGGAAUUGACGGGGGCCCGCACAAGCGGAGGAACAUGUGGUUUAAUUCGAUGAUACGCGAGGAACCUUACCCGGGCUUAAAUUGCAGAUGAAUUACGGUGAAAGCCGUAAGCCGCAAGGCAUCUGUGAAGGUGCUGCAUGGUUGUCGUCAGCUCGUGCCGUGAGGUGUCGGCUUAAGUGCCAUAACGAGCGCAACCCUUGUUGUCAGUUACUAACAGGUUCCGCUGAGGACUCUGACAAGACUGCCAUCGUAAGAUGUGAGGAAGGUGGGGAUGACGUCAAAUCAGCACGGCCCUUACGUCCGGGGCUACACACGUGUUACAAUGGGGGGUACAGAGGGCCGCUACCACGCGAGUGGAUGCCAAUCCCCAAAACCUCUCUCAGUUCGGACUGGAGUCUGCAACCCGACUCCACGAAGCUGGAUUCGCUAGUAAUCGCGCAUCAGCCACGGCGCGGUGAAUACGUUCCCGGGCCUUGUACACACCGCC